RNAcentral lists this unclassified non-coding RNA (521 nucleotides) under Hevea brasiliensis (rubber tree). Lineage: Eukaryota; Viridiplantae; Streptophyta; Magnoliopsida; Malpighiales; Euphorbiaceae. The record is from RNAcentral.
GUUUGGUUUUACCCUUUCUUGUAGUCCAAACCCAAGAAUGUGUGGAUGCUUCUCAAUCAAUCUAGCCACAGCUAGCCUCGGAAUUCCCAAGACUUCCAGAUAUUCUACAAAUGGUUUAAUUACCCGACCUACUCGCAUCCCUAAUAUCUCAGGAUAUCUAGUGAGAAGCCCACCAAUUUCUCUUCUUGCCACUCCAAUUCCUACUAAAUAAGCAACUGAUGUACUCAUUGUGCCCUCAAGCUUGAACCCCAACACUUCAGGAUAUUUCUCCAGUACUCGUGGAAUAUCAUUUGGUUUAAUAUCCAUGCCUUGAAGAUAUUUCACAACUGGAGCAAGGUCUACCACCACACUUGCAUGUAGAACUUGUGGGUACCGCCGCAAAAAGUCUGUCAAGGUGGAUUUUCUAACACCCAAUUUGCCCAGAUAAUCAAGCACAGGAAUCAUGUUUUUCUUCACACUGCAUCCCAGAACAAGAGGAUAGUUGUUAAUAUCUUCAAUAGUGAGUCCCAAUUUGUGAAGAA